GUUUUGUUUUUGAGGUUCACUCUCCACAAAAAGCGCGUGAAGUAAAAUCCAACUCCCUCUCCUCCUCCAUAUCUAUUUCCCCAUUUCAUUUCUCAGGGAAAUCGAGAUCUGUGCUCACACCCCCACCCCCUCUAAACCCCCUACCCCUACCCCUACAAAAUUCAUAUAUACAACAUUGAUGUGCACAAAAUUCGUGAAGGAAAUGGAGAAGAUGGCGUUGUACGUCGUCGUUUUGCUAAUCAUCUGCUAUGCAUCGCCGGCGAGAUCAGACGGUUCCGAUCAUAAGUAUAAAUCCGGAGAUCAGGUUCCACUUUAUGCUAACAAAGUCGGUCCGUUCCAUAAUCCGAGUGAAACAUACCGCUUCUUUGACCUUCCUUUUUGUACUCCAGAUCAUGUAAAAGAGAAGAAGGAAGCCCUUGGUGAGGUCUUGAAUGGUGACCGAUUGGUCAGUGCCCCUUACAAGCUUGACUUUUUGUACGAUAAGGACUCAGAAAUAGUUUGCAAGAAGAAGUUGUCCAAGGAAGAAGUUUCUCAAUUCCGCAGCGCUGUUGCUAAAGACUACUACUUCCAAAUGUAU
RNAcentral lists this unclassified non-coding RNA (577 nucleotides) under Hevea brasiliensis (rubber tree). Lineage: Eukaryota; Viridiplantae; Streptophyta; Magnoliopsida; Malpighiales; Euphorbiaceae. The record is from RNAcentral.